AUGCCGGGCUGGCCGGGAGGAUAGGCGUCUCCUGUUACCCGAAACCGUCUAGAUGCGGGGGCGACAGCCGAUAAAGAUGGCAACAGUGGAUGUGCAUGCCUCCGAUGCACUAUGAAAUUCUGUCCCAUUGGAUUCGGGUUGUAUACGUCUUUCCCGGAGGGGAGAGGGGUAUAUAUUAUCACGGGAAUCCGUCAGGACCGGAAGGGAGCAACGGUUACGUGGACCCUGGAUGCUGAUGGGGGCACGGAGUAGAGAACAGAAGAGGGUAAGUGCAUUCUCUACUGCCCGUCGAUAUCGGUGGCCCGGUAU
RNAcentral lists this signal recognition particle RNA (309 nucleotides) under Methanobacteriota archaeon. RNAcentral describes it as "Euryarchaeota archaeon (hot springs metagenome) signal recognition particle sRNA". It matches the Rfam family "Archaeal signal recognition particle RNA". The record is from RNAcentral. Lineage: Archaea; Methanobacteriati; Methanobacteriota.